This 1390-nucleotide ribosomal RNA is filed under the name uncultured bacterium. RNAcentral describes it as "bacterial SSU rRNA". It matches the Rfam family "Bacterial small subunit ribosomal RNA". The record is from RNAcentral.
AGAGUUUGAUCCUGGCUCAGGAUGAACGCUGGCGGCGUGCUUAACACAUGCAAGUCGAGCGAAGCACUUUUUUAGAACUCUUCGGAGGGAAGAGAGGGUGACUUAGCGGCGGACGGGUGAGUAACGCGUGGGCAACCUGCCUUACACAGGGGGAUAACAAUUAGAAAUGAUUGCUAAUACCGCAUAAGACCCCAGUACCGCAUGGUACAGGGGUAAAAACUGAGGUGGUGUAAGAUGGGCCUGCGUCUGAUUAGGUAGUUGGUGGGGUAGAAGCCUACCAAGCCGACGAUCAGUAGCCGACCUGAGAGGGCGACCGGCCGCAUUGGGACUGAGAUACGGCCCAGACUCCUACGGGAGGCAGCAGUCGGGAAUAUUGCGCAAUGGAGGAAACUCUGACGCAGUGACGCCGCGUAUAGGAAGAAGGUCUUCGGAUUGUAAACUAUUGUCGUUAGGGAAGAGAAAGGACAGUACCUAAGGAGGAAGCUCCGGCUAACUACGUGCCAGCAGCCGCGGUAAUACGUAGGGAGCGAGCGUUAUCCGGAUUUAUUGGGUGUAAAGGGUGCGUAGACGGGAAAAUAAGUUAGUUGUGAAAUCCCUCGGCUUAACUGAGGAACUGCAACUAAAACUAUUUUUCUUGAGUGCAGGAGAGGAAAGUGGAAUUCCUAGUGUAGCGGUGAAAUGCGUAGAUAUUAGGAGGAACACCAGUGGCGAAGGCGACUUUCUGGACUGUAACUGACGUUGAGGCACGAAAGUGUGGGGAGCAAACAGGAUUAGAUACCCUGGUAGUCCACACCGUAAACGAUGGAUACUAGGUGUAGGGAAUAUUAAGUUUUCUGUGCCGUCGCAAACGCAGUAAGUAUCCCACCUGGGGAGUACGGCCGCAAGGUUGAAACUCAAAGGAAUUGACGGGGGCCCGCACAAGCAGUGGAGUAUGUGGUUUAAUUCGAAGCAACGCGAAGAACCUUACCAGGGCUUGACAUAUACAGGAAUAUAUAAGAGAUUAUAUAGCUCUUCGGAGUCUGUAUACAGGUGGUGCAUGGUUGUCGUCAGCUCGUGUCGUGAGAUGUUGGGUUAAGUCCCGCAACGAGCGCAACCCCUGUUUCUAGUUGCCAGCAUGUAAAGAUGGGAACUCUAGAAAGACUGCCGGUGAUAAAUCGGAGGAAGGUGGGGAUGACGUCAAAUCAUCAUGCCCUUUAUGUCCUGGGCUACACACGUACUACAAUGGCUGUAACAGAGGGAAGCAACACAGUGAUGCGAAGCGAAACCCAAAAAGCAGUCACAGUUCGGAUUGAAGGCUGAAAUUCGCCUUCAUGAAGCCGGAAUUGCUAGUAAUGGCAGGUCAGCAUACUGCCGUGAAUACGAUGCCGGGCCUUGCACACACCGCCCGUCA